CCUCACUUUCAUUACGCCAAGGGGUUUUGCUUGCACCCUCUGACUUGCACGCGAGUCAGACGGUGCAAGCAAACCCCCGUGACGCAAUGAAAGUGAGGGCCGGCGCGCGCCGGCUGAGGUGGGAUCCCGGCCAGCGGGGUCGGGCGCAGCGCCGACCCGUCUCGCGACGGGUGGAGCGUGAGCGAAAGGACCCAAAAGAUGCUGAUGAAAGGUUAACGUCGUGCUGCUGUAAAGUGGUAUCGGUGCCGUUGUAUCGGAGCUG
Sebastes umbrosus (honeycomb rockfish) is the source of this 262-nucleotide long non-coding RNA. RefSeq lists it as uncharacterized. The record is from RefSeq and is a predicted model, not a curated record. The transcript has 3 exons. Lineage: Eukaryota; Metazoa; Chordata; Actinopteri; Perciformes; Sebastidae.